Molecule: ribosomal RNA, 475 nt
Filed under: uncultured bacterium
Lineage: Bacteria
Description: bacterial SSU rRNA
Rfam family: Bacterial small subunit ribosomal RNA
Source: RNAcentral
GCAAGUCGAACGGUAGCGGGGAGAAAGCUUGCUUUCUCUGCCGACGAGUGGCGGACGGGUGAGUAAUGCUUGGGAAUCUGGCUUAUGAGGGGGGAUAACUACCGGAAACGGUAGCUAAUACCGCGUAAUGUCUAAGGACUAAAGGGUGGGACUUUCGGGCCACCUGCCAUAAGAUGAGCCCAAGUGGGAUUAGGUAGUUGGUGAGGUAAUGGCUCACCAAGCCCGCGAUCUCUAGCUGGUCUGAGAGGAUGACCAGCCACACUGGAACUGAGACACGGUCCAGACUCCUACGGGAGGCAGCAGUGGGGAAUAUUGCACAAUGGGGGGAACCCUGAUGCAGCCAUGCCGCCGUGAAUGAAGAAGGCCUUCGGGUUGUAAAGUUCUUUCGGUAGCGAGGAAGGCGGUUAGUUUAAUAGACUAAUCGAUUGACGUUAACUACAGAAGAAGCACCGGCUAACUCCGUGCCAGCAGCCGC